This 1584-nucleotide long non-coding RNA is filed under the name Citrus x clementina. RNAcentral's name for it is "Citrus clementina (C. clementina) long non-coding RNA (CCLE_LNC006734)". The record is from RNAcentral. Lineage: Eukaryota; Viridiplantae; Streptophyta; Magnoliopsida; Sapindales; Rutaceae.
UUUAAACAAAAUAAUUAUAAAAAAUUAUAUAGUACACAUUAUGCAUUAUGUGUAAUCGUGCCUCAUAGAAGCUGCAAUCUCAUCUCUUAUAGCAUUCAUCUCUGCGACAUUAGCUGGUAACCAAAUCUUGCUAUCCUCACCACCAACAUCAUGUGGAUCCAUAUCUUGUUACUAUAAAAUUAGAAAAAAUAACAUAUAUCAAAUAUUAAUGAAAUUAAAGAAACUACUUCUAAACAUACAUAGCUCAAACUUUUGAAAUUAAUCAAAUUCAACAUAGCAUGAAAGCCAUUUUACCAAUAUGUCAUAGAUUAAAAAUUCAACAGUCCAAAAUAAAAAAUAUUCCAAUACAACUUCACCAAUUCAAAUUAAUGGCAUAAACAAAAACAGAUAUAUGUAUUCUGCAUCCUUAACACAAAUACAAUGCUAUUCGGCAAUCAUCAUUUUCCCCAAAUAUAUUUAUCUGAAAUUACAAUUUCCAGCUUGCAUUUCGAUUCAAUGACAGAGAGAAAAUAUUAAAACUCAUAAUGACCAAGCACACAAAGCAACAACAUAGCAACAAUUAAAGCAGCAAGACAAAUCCCCCAAUUCCAGUUCAUCGCUGCCUUUUUUUUUCAUUCUGCAAACAAAAUCAAAGUGUACCAAAAAUAUUUUUACACGGUUUUGCUUUCAAAUCAACACAAUUACUCAUAAUCUAAAAUAAUUACUCAAAAUUAUUAAAACUCAUAAUAACAAAGCACACGAAGCAACAACAUAACAACAAUUAAAUCCCCCAAUUCCAGUUCAUCGCUUCCUUUUUUUUCCAUUCCGCAAACAAAAUCAAAGUGUAGCAAAACUAUAUUCACACGGUUUUGUUUUCAAAUCAACACAAUUACUCAUAAUCUAAAACAAUUACUCAAAAUUAUUUUGGCUUGAAUAGAGGGAAUACACAAUUAACAUGCUUUAAAAAAAUCUCGCAAAAUUAUUCAAACAAUUACUGAAAUAAAAAAAAUUACCAGCAAGCUGAGAGAGAUGCAGCAGUUCAGUCGAUCAAGUAGGAGCGGCGGUGGCUACACGGAGAUGGACAGCAGUGGCUAUGCUCAAACGGAGCAGCAACGGCCACGACGGAGAGAGAACGGCACACCAAAGGACAACCGCGGUAGAGACGAAGUUGCAGCGGCGGCAGAGAAAGUGUUGUUGGAGGGAGAAAAGGAGAGAGAGAGCGGGUAGAGAGAAGACUGCUACCGAAGAAAAGGAUGAGGAGAUAAGGAGAGAGAAAAUGUUGUUGGAGUAAGAAAAGGAGAAAGCACUGCUGCCGUGACUAGAUCGAUAACGAUGGCAGGGAGGGGGGGGGGUGACCAGAUCGAGAACAAUGAGAGGGGGGAGAGGGUUGCUGCCGAAGAGAAUGAGUUUUGUUUCUUAAUCUAUUUUUGAGUUUAGUUUGUAAUAUUUAGGAAACAUGUUAAACACAUUUUCAUGUUUGUAGUUAUAACACUGGAUCUGAAUUUGUUAUUUUGUGAUUUGUUUUUUGAAUCCAUCUCACCAAACAUAUAUUAUGUUUGUAUUAUGAAAACAAAAAUGAAAACAAUGGGUAAAAAACGCUACCAA